AAGUCAGCUACGAUCGGCUACGCCACGUUCCGUGACCCUCGUGAGGUCGAGAGGAUAGAUGAUCGGAUGAAUCGGCAAGGGUUUAUUAUACUGUGUCGACUACAAACAAAAGGAAAUUCAAGCAGUGAGAUGAGCCGUAUGAAAAACAGCGUGGGCCUCAGUGGACGACCCGACCGCCGGCGUGAGACGACCAGCGCUGCUCAGCGACCCGAGCAGCAAAGUGGCAAAGCGGCGGAGCAGACGGCGGCGCCGGCGCGGCCCGAUCAAACAGCUUGAGGACUAAAAGGCCAAGACGCGGGACACAAAUUGACUCGGGGUGCGAGGGAGACCACCGCUCUCCCCAGUCGGCUAACCUUCACAGUUUAUAGACUGGCAGGCGUUUUUUUGGAGGUAUGCCACAGUCAUUAAAAAUUCAGUCACCGUUCACAUACAUUGAUAGUCCGUGUGAGAUCGUCGCCUCAUAAGGCAAGGGUUGGGCUCACCUUUGCAGAGGUAGCAAGAGUACUCAGAAUCUGUACUUCAGUAGAAGUAAGUCCACAUAUACUUGUGU
Molecule: long non-coding RNA, 550 nt
Organism: Hippocampus comes (tiger tail seahorse)
Lineage: Eukaryota; Metazoa; Chordata; Actinopteri; Syngnathiformes; Syngnathidae
Exons: 2
Source: RefSeq, a predicted model, not a curated record